AACGAACGCUGGCGGCAGGCCUAACACAUGCAAGUCGAGCGCCCUUUCGGGGGAGCGGCGGACGGGUGAGUAACGCGUGGGAAUAUGCUCUUCUCUACGGAAUAGCCUCGGGAAACUGAGAGUAAUACCGUAUACGCCCUCUGGGGGAAAGAUUUAUCGGGGAAGGAUUAGCCCGCGUUGGAUUAGGUAGUUGGUGGGGUAAUGGCCUACCAAGCCGACGAUCCAUAGCUGGUUUGAGAGGAUGAUCAGCCACACUGGGAGUGAGACACGGCCCAGACUCCUACGGGAGGGAGCAGUGGGGGAUCUUAGACAAUGGGGGCAACCCUGAUCGAGCCAUGCCGCGUGAGUGAUGAAGGCCUUAGGGUUGUAAAGCUCUUUCAGCUGGGAAGAUAAUGACGGUACCAGCAGAAGAAGCCCCGGCUAACUCCGUG
This 431-nucleotide ribosomal RNA is filed under the name uncultured bacterium. Its description in RNAcentral is "partial 16S ribosomal RNA". It matches the Rfam family "Bacterial small subunit ribosomal RNA", at positions 29 to 507 of the family's 1533-position model. The record is from RNAcentral.